RNAcentral lists this ribosomal RNA (433 nucleotides) under uncultured bacterium. RNAcentral's name for it is "partial 16S ribosomal RNA". It matches the Rfam family "Bacterial small subunit ribosomal RNA", at positions 29 to 507 of the family's 1533-position model. The record is from RNAcentral.
AACGAACGCUGGCGGCAUGCCUAACACAUGCAAGUCGAACGAGACCUUCGGGUCUAGUGGCGCACGGGUGCGUAACGCGUGGGAACCUGCCCUUAGGUUCGGAAUAACUUGUCGAAAGGGGUGCUAAUACCGGAUAGUGUCUUCGGACCAAAGAUUUAUCGCCUUUGGAUGGGCCCGCGUUGGAUUAGCUAGUUGGUAGGGUAAAAGCCUACCAAGGCGACGAUCCAUAGCUGGUCUGAGAGGAUGAUCAGCCACACUGGGACUGAGACACGGCCCAGACUCCUACGGGAGGCAGCAGUGGGGAAUAUUGGACGCUGGGCGAAAGCCUGAUCCAGCACUGCCGCGUGAGUGAUGAAGGCCUUAGGGUUGUAAAGCUCUUUUACCCGGGAUGAUAAUGACAGUACCGGGAGAAUAAGCUCCGGCUAACUCCGUG